Molecule: non-coding RNA, 24 nt
Filed under: Arabidopsis thaliana (thale cress)
Lineage: Eukaryota; Viridiplantae; Streptophyta; Magnoliopsida; Brassicales; Brassicaceae
Source: RNAcentral
AGGUAACGAUAAAGUGUGAUCGUG